RNAcentral lists this long non-coding RNA (1417 nucleotides) under Felis catus (domestic cat). RNAcentral describes it as "lncRNA (ENSFCAG00000045506.2)". Lineage: Eukaryota; Metazoa; Chordata; Mammalia; Carnivora; Felidae. The record is from RNAcentral.
AUGUCAUUUGAAAAUAAAUGCACGAAGCCCAGGAGUCUUCCCGGCAGAAGUAAGCUACCCCAGCAAGCCGGAGAAACGAGGGCCAGCCAUGCAGGGCCUGCUUUCCUUGGGGGAACAGGGCAGGUAAGUAUGGGGAGACUCCCACCGCCAUCUUUUUUUUUUUUUUUUUUUUUUCAGCCUGAACUGACACUACAAUCCCCAGGGGACAUUUGCAAACGAGGUGGCCUGACAGGUCACCUGUCGCAGCACAUGCUGCUGGGGCCGGCACAGGGCAUCUGGCCCUUCUGGUGUUUCCUUGUGCACAGCUGCAGGAAGAUGGGGCUGGGGACCACACCAGGGAGGGGAGGGGGCCAGUGGAGACCAAGGGCAUUUGCUCGGAUCACACACGUGACAGUCUUAGGAGCCACCUGGAAGUAAAGGGCUGAGUCUUGUGCCUUCAGGGGCGCAAGAGCCGGCAUUGCAAAUGCAGUGGGAACGCAGAUAGAUGCAACGAUGCAGCCUCCCCCCUCCCCCCCAGGCUGGUGUGACUUGAGGGGAUGCAGGUAACACGUUCUGACCUCCGCAACCUUUCUCCUGGCUCUGCUUUUGUCAGCACUCGGUCUCCGUGAUGUUUUUCCCAUUCUGCAGCACCCUCUGCCUACAGAAACGCUCACAACCCAAGUGGCAGGGGUCAGCCCACUGGUGUAAUCGUUUUGCAGAAGUUCAACGAAAGCCAGAUAGUGGCCUGGAGAAGGGCUCUGUCAUUUCGUUGCGGGUGGUUACAACGAUCUACACGGCGUAUUCCCCCGGCAGUGGACUUUCCACCCCCUCUGCCCGAUGGCAGCCGUUACGUGCACGUGUCUGUCGGACAUGACCCACAUGGUGUCUCCGCGAUCGUUCUCCUCCUAGCGUGCGCGUCUGGACCAGGAGGUCGCUUCCGAGAAUUCCUGGACUCAGAGACGGGGUCAGCGCAGGGUAGCGUUGGUGCGUCGUUAAACCUCCACGAAGAGAAGGUUGCUGGUCGGUGCAAGGACUGAAGACGUGAGUGCACGGAUGCUGUUUUCUGUGUUCAUGGCAGGAUGGUGGCCAGGGGGCUCCACGCUAUCGAAGCUUGGGGCCAAGCAAGGCAGCACCUUUCUGGCAGGUGAGCCCUGUUUCUCCGUGCCUCCCGUCCUGGUGCACGGGAGGCCUUGGAGAGGGAAAACAUUUCCGAUCCCUGAGACUCCUCUGAAUUUCAGGCCAAAUUUUCCUGUGUGUUAUAGCUAUGGAAAACAGGUUCACGUGGCCCCAAGAGUUUAGUUGUUGAUAUGAAAUGCGUACCAAGUCCUGCCAGGUAAAUGGGCUUUUAGGUCUUUAAGAACGUUGACGGAUUGGCCGAUGAAUCCAUUCAUUUCCUCACUGAAUCAAACAACUGAGCAGGGACUGUGCACCGGGCCGA